GCGGGAUUAGCUCAGAUGGCAGAGCGCAUUCCUUCCAAGUAUGAGGUCGACGGUUCGAGUCCGUCAUCCCGCUCCA
Molecule: transfer RNA, 76 nt
Filed under: Massilia antarctica subsp. insulae
Lineage: Bacteria; Pseudomonadati; Pseudomonadota; Betaproteobacteria; Burkholderiales; Oxalobacteraceae
Description: tRNA-Gly
Rfam family: tRNA
About the family: Transfer RNA (tRNA) molecules are approximately 80 nucleotides in length. Their secondary structure includes four short double-helical elements and three loops (D, anti-codon, and T loops). Further hydrogen bonds mediate the characteristic L-shaped molecular structure. tRNAs have two regions of fundamental functional importance: the anti-codon, which is responsible for specific mRNA codon recognition, and the 3' end, to which the tRNAs corresponding amino acid is attached (by aminoacyl-tRNA synthetases). tRNAs cope with the degeneracy of the genetic code in two manners: having more than one tRNA (with a specific anti-codon) for a particular amino acid; and 'wobble' base-pairing, i.e. permitting non-standard base-pairing at the 3rd anti-codon position.
Source: RNAcentral